UAGAGAUAGCUGGUUACUCAGGAAAAGGAUGUUAGUCCAACUUUAAAUCUCCUACUAACCUCAAAUAGCCUAAUAGAUUUAAAUUUUAUUCAAAUAAGGUACAGCCUAUUUGAAACAGGAUACAACCUAUGACACUGGGUAAUGUCCCAACUCAUGACCAAGUGGGCCUAAGAGCAGCCAUCUUUUAAAGAGCGUUACAGCCUCGUCACACUUUCCAUCAAUCCCAACCUAAAUCCAAAACCCUUCACUAAUACUGAGUAACUCCAUAUUAAUAUAGAAACUCUUAUGUUAGAACUAGUAACAAGAACAGCCAUUCUCCUAUAAACGUAACUGUAAGCCGGACUGAACCCCCUCACCGGCAUCUACCGCUGAUGAAUCAACAGUAGCAACUCACACAAGAAAACCCCACUCAUCCCAGCGUUAACCUUACACUAGAACUUUCCAGGAAAGAUUAAAAAAAGAGGAAGGAAUUCAGCAAAUAUUAGCCCCGCCUGUUUACCAA
RNAcentral lists this ribosomal RNA (502 nucleotides) under Oreophryne waira. Its description in RNAcentral is "partial 16S ribosomal RNA". The record is from RNAcentral. Lineage: Eukaryota; Metazoa; Chordata; Amphibia; Anura; Microhylidae.